Non-coding RNA from Misgurnus anguillicaudatus (oriental weatherfish), 1539 nucleotides. Lineage: Eukaryota; Metazoa; Chordata; Actinopteri; Cypriniformes; Cobitidae. The record is from RefSeq and is a predicted model, not a curated record.
CUGAAAAAAAUGGACUUAGUGGGUCUUUGAAUUUAAAUAAAAUAAACAUGUAUAUGCAACACAAAAUAUUUAUAUUCCUUGUGUAAACAUAAUUUAAUUGAUUAGGAUUAAAAUGUUUUGUUUGAAUGUAAAAUGAACACAUUAUUCUCACAUUGAUUAAAAUUGAUUAAAUUAAAUACUUAAAGCAAUAAAAUUGGGUUUGGACACAAAACGGCACCUCCUGAGCAGCAGGGGCAGUAUAGCUCAUUGAGAAGGACGUCGAUUGCCAUAAAAGAAGAAUAAAGAUCGUUUUUUUGGGCGCCAAAAUGAAGACUAAGCACAGCAGUCACUGCCAUUCAGUCAGAAGAACUCUCUCAGACGGACACCACGUUAUUAAAGUCCAUCAUCCUUGCACACACUCAAAAGCAUUGAUAAAUGCUGAAUUUAAAAGAAUCACUACUGUCUAAUGUUCCUGUGUCACCUGGACCUCCAAUCCAAAAACCUGAUGAAACUCUUCUAUCAGAAAGGAGGACAGCUAGCAAAAAGACUUCAAACAAUUAAUGAUCAAAUGACAGAAGGCAUGGAUGAAGACAGCAUCAGUGAGGUCAUUUGAAGACACCAAUGUUGGGAUUUGUGCUCUCAAACAACCUGCUGCUUGUGAUGAAGAAGAGGAUCUUUGUAUAGUCCUGGAAGGCAUGAAGGUGUUGCAACAUCGUGCCAUGUUGUUUGAGCUGAUGUAUGCCUUAAACCUGAGCUAUCCUGAUCUCCGCUUUAUUUUUGAGGAAAUCCAAAAGAUUUUAAUGGAACUGCAUUGAGAGUAACUUUAACGAACAGUUUCUUUCAGUGAAAGGCUCAGAAAGACUGUGCUGCUCAUUUUUGACUUUGUUUAUCUGUUUCAAGUGUUUUCUCUUAUUAAUACAUUAACCGUUUGCUGCUCAGAGUCGAUUUUGGAAAUGGUUGUUGUAUUUUGUUUUUGUUGAAUCUAUGAUUAACAGUUUAUACAAAUGCUGUAGCUCUGACUUUCUGAAGGAUUGAUAUUUUCCAGUUUGUAAAUCCAUUUUAAAAAUAAUAGUACAUACUGUUUUGCAUGUCUCUUUGGAAUGCAGUGUUUGUGCUUUAGCACUUCUAAAUCUACUGUGAUAGUAACUAUUUUAAACAUUUGGGUCAGUUUCACAGAUGGGGCUUUUCCUAGUCCCAGACUUUUGCAAUGCCAUAUAUCAGUGCCAUUGUUUUGUCUAAAGAUGUACUCCAUUGUUGUUUUUGUAAGGUAGGUUUGUUUGUAAACAUUUUUGUAAAAAUAUCCUAAUAUAACUAGGGCCUAGUCAUGAAUUAAUCUACAACCUGUUUGGGAAAUUGCCCCUUUAUGUAUGUACUGCAUGUGCUGAUUGUUAUAAUAGUUAUUGACUGUUAUUGAAUUAAUGUGUAAUGAUUUAAAUGAAUUGAUGAUCUGAAAGCAGUGGUUUGCCUCAAUAUCACUAAACAUUUGUACAAAACUCUUCACUUUUUAUGCCAAUGCAAAUGUAUUUUGUAUUUAAAAAGAAAUAAAUAACAUUUGGAUAA